Molecule: long non-coding RNA, 380 nt
Filed under: Pollicipes pollicipes
Lineage: Eukaryota; Metazoa; Arthropoda; Thecostraca; Pollicipedomorpha; Pollicipedidae
Description: uncharacterized LOC119111291
Source: RNAcentral
GGCGCUGCCUGCGCCGCACCGGUCGGCUCGAGCUGUGCGCCGACGCGUGAGAGGGUGCCAGCCAGGCGCCGGUCAGAGCGGCGCCGCUGCAGCGGCAUCUGCUGUCCCCCGGCGGAGGGUUUGUCAUCAUGACGUGCUCAGCACGAUUGAGACGCCGGGCCGUACCCCGGCCGGAGGUCAACCCGAGCUAAGCCCGCUGGCGUCUGCUGGGGCCACUGGAGCGGAACUGCUCCAGUGGCGUCUCCGGAGGGAGCCGCACCUGGAGAGCAAGCACGUAACGCAAGCCGGCUCAAAGCGGGAAGAUGGGGCCGGUCACAGAAGUCAAGUGCAAUACGUAAUUGAGCAAUAAACAGUUGCGCAUCAUCUUCGAAUAUAUCACA